AUGUAGCUCAGCGGUAGGGCUUUUGCUUAAUAUGUAUGAGGCCCUGGGUUUGAUCCCCAGCGU
Molecule: transfer RNA, 63 nt
Filed under: Heterocephalus glaber (naked mole-rat)
Lineage: Eukaryota; Metazoa; Chordata; Mammalia; Rodentia; Bathyergidae
Rfam family: tRNA
About the family: Transfer RNA (tRNA) molecules are approximately 80 nucleotides in length. Their secondary structure includes four short double-helical elements and three loops (D, anti-codon, and T loops).
Source: Rfam by way of RNAcentral